RNAcentral lists this ribosomal RNA (650 nucleotides) under Bacillus subtilis. RNAcentral describes it as "bacterial SSU rRNA". It matches the Rfam family "Bacterial small subunit ribosomal RNA", at positions 55 to 687 of the family's 1533-position model. The record is from RNAcentral. Lineage: Bacteria; Bacillati; Bacillota; Bacilli; Caryophanales; Bacillaceae.
AUGCAAGUCGAGCGGACAGAUGGGAGCUUGCUCCCUGAUGUUAGCGGCGGACGGGUGAGUAACACGUGGGUAACCUGCCUGUAAGACUGGGAUAACUCCGGGAAACCGGGGCUAAUACCGGAUGCUUGUUUGAACCGCAUGGUUCAAACAUAAAAGGUGGCUUCGGCUACCACUUACAGAUGGACCCGCGGCGCAUUAGCUAGUUGGUGAGGUAAUGGCUCACCAAGGCGACGAUGCGUAGCCGACCUGAGAGGGUGAUCGGCCACACUGGGACUGAGACACGGCCCAGACUCCUACGGGAGGCAGCAGUAGGGAAUCUUCCGCAAUGGACGAAAGUCUGACGGAGCAACGCCGCGUGAGUGAUGAAGGUUUUCGGAUCGUAAAGCUCUGUUGUUAGGGAAGAACAAGUACCGUUCGAAUAGGGCGGUACCUUGACGGUACCUAACCAGAAAGCCACGGCUAACUACGUGCCAGCAGCCGCGGUAAUACGUAGGUGGCAAGCGUUGUCCGGAAUUAUUGGGCGUAAAGGGCUCGCAGGCGGUUUCUUAAGUCUGAUGUGAAAGCCCCCGGCUCAACCGGGGAGGGUCAUUGGAAACUGGGGAACUUGAGUGCAGAAGAGGAGAGUGGAAUUCCACGUGUAGCGGUGAAAU